Schistosoma mattheei is the source of this 46-nucleotide non-coding RNA. NCBI's taxonomy places the organism in Eukaryota, Metazoa, Platyhelminthes, Trematoda, Strigeidida, Schistosomatidae. The record is from Rfam.
GCACUGCUGAGGAGUCCCAUAAUAGGACGAAGCGGCCGUACAGUGC